Molecule: ribosomal RNA, 408 nt
Filed under: uncultured bacterium
Lineage: Bacteria
Description: partial 16S ribosomal RNA
Rfam family: Bacterial small subunit ribosomal RNA
Source: RNAcentral
GACGAACGCUGGCGGCGUGCUUAACACAUGCAAGUCGAACGGAGUGGCGAACGGGUGAGUAACACGUGGGUGAUCUGCCUUGCACUUCGGGAUAAGCUUGGGAAACUGGGUCUAAUACCGGAUAGUGCAAGAUGAGCUCGCGGUCUAUCAGCUUGUUGGUGGGGUAAUGGCCGACGAAGGCGUCGACGGGUAGCCGGCCUGGGAGGGUGUACGGGCACAGUGGGACUGAGCUACGGCCCAGACUGCUACGGUACGCAGCAGGGGGGAAUAUUGCACAAUGAGCGGAAGCCUGAUGCAGCGACGCCGCGUGGGGAAUGAAGGGCUUCGGGUUGUAAACUCCUUUCGACAGGGACGCGGUACCUGUAUAAGAAGCACCGGCUAACUACGUGCCAGCAGCCGCGGUAAUAC